AGUGAACGCUGGCGGCAGGCCUAACACAUGCAAGUCGAGCGGAAGCACGGUGCUUGCUCGCGGUUUCGGCGGGGGACGGGCGGGCGAUGCCGGAGAAUAUCCGAGUCUGCUUUUGAUAAGGUCCUGACACGGGCGCUAAUACCCCAUUCGCGCAGAGGGCGAACGGGGGGGAGCAUGGGAUCUUCCGCCCUUGGGUGAGCCUAGGUCGGAUUGGCUAGUUGGUGGGGUAAAGGCCUACCGAGGCGACGAUCCGUAACUGGUCUGAGAGGAUGAGCAGCCACACUGGAACUGAGACACGGUCCAGACUCCUACGGGAGGCAGCAGUGGGGAAUAUUGGACAAUGGGCGCAAGCCUGAUCCAGCCAUGCCGCGUGUGUGAAGAAGGUCUUCGGGUUGUAAAGCCCUUUUAGUUGGGGAGAAGGGCAGUAGGUUAAUACCUCGCUGUUUUGACGUUACCAAAAGAAUAAGCACCGGCUAACUUCGUG
This 484-nucleotide ribosomal RNA is filed under the name uncultured bacterium. RNAcentral describes it as "partial 16S ribosomal RNA". It matches the Rfam family "Bacterial small subunit ribosomal RNA", at positions 28 to 507 of the family's 1533-position model. The record is from RNAcentral.